GACGAACGCUGGCGGCGUGCUUAAUACAUGCAAGUCGAACGGAAAGGCCCUGCUUUUGUGGGGUGCUCGAGUGGCGAACGGGGGUGUAAAACGUGAGUAAACUGCACUUGACUUUGGGAUAAAUUUAGGAAACUGGGGCUCAUACCGGAUAGGAGAUACUGCUGCGUGGGGGGGGAUGGUAAGAUUCGGCGGUGGGGGAUAGUAUAGCGGCUUAUCAGCUUGUUGGUGGGGUAGUGGCUUACCAAGGCUUUGACGGGUAGCCGGCCUGAGAGGGUGACCGGCCACAUUGGGACUGAGAUACGGCCCAGACGCCUACCGUAGGCAGCAGUGGAGAACAUUGCGCAAUGGGCGGAAGCCUGAGGCAGCAACGCCGCGAGCGUGAUGACGGCCUUCGGGUUGUGAACCGCUUUCUCCUGAAACAAGGCGUGAUUGACGGUAAUGAGUAAAAAAGCACCGGCUAACUACGUG
Molecule: ribosomal RNA, 468 nt
Filed under: uncultured bacterium
Lineage: Bacteria
Description: partial 16S ribosomal RNA
Rfam family: Bacterial small subunit ribosomal RNA
Source: RNAcentral